CCUACGGGUGGCAGCAGUGGGGAAUAUUGGACAAUGGGGGGAACCCUGAUCCAGCGACGCCGCGUGAGUGAAGAAGUCUUUCGGUAUGUUAAGCUCUAUCAGCAGGGAAGAAAAUGACGGUACCUGACUAAGAAGCCCUGGCUAACUACGUGCCAGCAGCCGCGGGAAUACGUAGGGGGCAAGCGUUAUCCGGAUUUAAUGGGGGUAAAGGGGGAGUUGUGGGUGAAGCAAGGCUGAUGUGAAAGGUGGGGGCCCAACCCCGGGACUGCAUUGGAAACUGGUGAACUGGAGUACAGGAGAGGUAAGCGGAAUGCGUAGUGUAGCGGUGAAAUGCGUAGAUAUUAGGAGGAACACCAGUGGCGAAGGCGGCUUACUGGACUGUAACUGACGUUGAGGCUCGAAAGCGUGGGGAGCAAACAGGAUUAGAUACCCUAGUAGUC
RNAcentral lists this ribosomal RNA (440 nucleotides) under uncultured bacterium. Its description in RNAcentral is "partial 16S ribosomal RNA". It matches the Rfam family "Bacterial small subunit ribosomal RNA", at positions 338 to 795 of the family's 1533-position model. The record is from RNAcentral.